RNAcentral lists this ribosomal RNA (157 nucleotides) under uncultured bacterium. RNAcentral describes it as "partial 16S ribosomal RNA". It matches the Rfam family "Bacterial small subunit ribosomal RNA", at positions 355 to 509 of the family's 1533-position model. The record is from RNAcentral.
UGAGGAAUAUUGGUCAAUGGGCGGGAGCCUGAACCAGCCAAGUCGCGUGAAGGAAGAAGGCGCCAGGCGUCGUAAACUUCUUUUGUCGGGGAACAAAGGGCGCCACGCGUGGCGUUGUGAGUGUACCCGAAGAAAAAGCAUCGGCUAACUCCGUGCC